GUGCUCGCUUCAGCAGCACAUACACUAAAAUUGACCGAUACAGAGAUUAGCGUGGCCCCUGCGCAGGGGUGACACACAAAUCCGCGAAGCGUUCAAAAAAAAA
Chionomys nivalis (European snow vole) is the source of this 103-nucleotide small nuclear RNA. Lineage: Eukaryota; Metazoa; Chordata; Mammalia; Rodentia; Cricetidae. The record is from RefSeq and is a predicted model, not a curated record.